AUUGAACGCUGGCGGCAGGCCUAACACAUGCAAGUCGAGCGAGCGGCGGACGGGUGAGUAAUGUCUGGGAAACUGCCUGAUGGAGGGGGAUAACUACUGGAAACGGUAGCUAAUACCGCAUACCAUCAGAUGUGCCCAGAUGGGAUUAGCUAGUAGGUGGGGUAACGGCUCACCUAGGCGACGAUCCCUAGCUGGUCUGAGAGGAUGACCGGCCACACUGGAAGUGAGACAGUGUCCAGGCGACUACGAGAGGCAGCAGUGGGGAAUAUUGCACAAUGGGCGCAAGCCUGAUGCAGCCAUGCCGCGUGUGUGAAGAAGGCCUUCGGGUUGUAAAGCACGUUCAGCGGGGAGGCGUUACCCGCAGAAGAAGCACCGGCUAACUCCGUGCCAGCCGCCGCGGUAAUAC
Molecule: ribosomal RNA, 406 nt
Filed under: uncultured bacterium
Lineage: Bacteria
Description: partial 16S ribosomal RNA
Rfam family: Bacterial small subunit ribosomal RNA
Source: RNAcentral